GAAAUGCGAUAAGUAAUGCGAAUUGCAGAAUUCCAGUGAGUCAUCGAAUCUUUGAACGCACAUUGCGCCCUUUGGUAUUCCGAAGGGCAUGCCUGUUCGAGCGUCAUUAUCACCCCUCAAGCCCCCGGCUUGGUGUUGGACGGUUUGGUGGAAGACCCCCCUUGGGGGCGUCCCACCCCUCCCAAAGACAAUGACGGCGGCCUCGUUGGACCCCCGGUACACUGAGUUCUUCACGGGACACGUAUCGGACACACGGGUUUACGGGCCACGGUCUGCCUCCCCUCAGGGAGAAUUUUUAUCAGGUUGACCUCGGAUCAGGUAGGGAUACCCGCUGAACUUAA
This 341-nucleotide unclassified non-coding RNA is filed under the name uncultured Herpotrichiellaceae. RNAcentral's name for it is "sequence contains ITS1". The stretch from base 1 to 106 matches the Rfam family "5.8S ribosomal RNA", at positions 50 to 154 of the family's 154-position model. The record is from RNAcentral. Lineage: Eukaryota; Fungi; Ascomycota; Eurotiomycetes; Chaetothyriales; Herpotrichiellaceae.